UGGGGAAUAUUGCACAAUGGGGGAAACCCUGAUGCAGCGACGCCGCGUGAGUGAAGAAGUACUUCGGUAUGUAAAGCUCUAUCAGCAGGGAAGAAAAUGACGGUACCUGAGUAAGAAGCCCCGGCUAACUACGUGCCAGCAGCCGCGGUAAUACGUAGGGGGCAAGCGUUAUCCGGAUUUACUGGGUGUAAAGGGAGCGCAGACGGUUGCGCAAGUCUGAAGUGAAAUCCCGAGGCUUAACCACGGGACUGCUUUGGAAACUGUGCGACUUGAGUAUCGGAGGGGCAGGCGGAAUUCCUAGUGUAGCGGUGAAAUGCGUAGAUAUUAGGAAGAACACCGGUGGCGAAGGCGGCCUGCUGGACGAAAACUGACGUUGAGGCUCGAAGGCGUGGGGAGCAAACAGGAUUAGAUACCCUGGUAGUCCACGCGGUAAACGAUGAAUACUAGGUGUUGGUGCCCAAAGGGCAUCGGUGCCGUCGCAAACGCAAUAAGUAUUCCACCUGGGGAGUACGUUCGCAAGAAUG
Molecule: ribosomal RNA, 524 nt
Filed under: uncultured bacterium
Lineage: Bacteria
Description: bacterial SSU rRNA
Rfam family: Bacterial small subunit ribosomal RNA
Source: RNAcentral